GUCUUAAGCGAGAGUUUAAGGCUAUGGCUUAACCAUAGUUCGCUCCCGAACUGAAGGACUGAGUGCAGGAGAGGAAAGCGGAAUUCCUAGUGUAGCGGUGAAAUGCGUAGAUAUUARGAGGAACACCAGUGGCGAARGCGGCUUUCUGGACUGAAACUGACACUGAGGCACGAAAGCGUGGGGAGCAAACAGGAUUAGAUACCCUGGUAGUCCACGCCGUAAACGAUGAGCACUAGKUGUCGGGAGGAUGAACUCUCGGUGCCGCAGUUAACGCAAUAAGUGCUCCGCCUGGGGAGUACGCACGCAAGUGUAAAACUCAAAGGAAUUGACGGGGACCCGCACAAGCAGCGGAGCAUGUGGUUUAAUUCGAAGCAACGCGAAGAACCUUACCAGGUCUUGACAUCUUCUUGAAAGCCGGGGUAACGCUCGGCCCUCUUCGGACAAGAGAGACAGGUGGUGCAUGGUUGUCGUCAGCUCGUGUCGUGAGAUGUUGGGUUAAGUCCCGCAACGAGCGCAACCCUUGCCUUUAGUUGCCAGCGAGUAAGGUCGGGCACUCUAGAGGGACUGCCGGGGACAACUCGGAGGAAGGUGGGGAUGACGUCAAAUCAUCAUGCCCCUUAUGAUCUGGGCUACACACGUGCUACAAUGGCCGGUACAACAGGAAGCGAAGGAGUGAUCCGGAGCGAAUCCCAAAAGCCGGUCCCAGUUCGGACUGUAGGCUGCAACCCGCCUACACGAAGCCGGAGUUGCUAGUAAUCGCGGAUCAGAAUGCCGCGGUGAAUGCGUUCCCGGGUCUUGUACACACCGCCCGUCACACCAUGGAAGUUGGGGGUGCCCGAAGUUGGUCAAUUAAUCUACUACCUAAGGCAAAACCAAUGACUGGGGUGAAGUCGUAACAAGGUAACCCGGGCGGCCGCU
This 918-nucleotide ribosomal RNA is filed under the name uncultured bacterium. RNAcentral describes it as "bacterial SSU rRNA". It matches the Rfam family "Bacterial small subunit ribosomal RNA", at positions 578 to 1513 of the family's 1533-position model. The record is from RNAcentral.